AUUGAACGCUGGCGGCAGGCCUAACACAUGCAAGUCGAGCGGAUGAAGGGGGCUUGCUCCUGGAUUCAGCGGCGGACGGGUGAGUAAUGCCUAGGAAUCUGCCUGGUAGUGGGGGAUAACGUCCGGAAACGGGCGCUAAUACCGCAUACGUCCUGAGGGAGAAAGUGGGGGAUCUUCGGACCUCACGCUAUCAGAUGGGCCUAGGUCGGAUUAGCUAGUUGGUGGGGUAAAGGCCUACCAAGGCGACGAUCCGUAACUGGUCUGAGAGGAUGAUCAGUCACACUGGAACUGAGACACGGUCCAGACUCCUACGGGAGGCAGCAGUGGGGAAUAUUGGACAAUGGGCGAAAGCCUGAUCCAGCCAUGCCGCGUGUGUGAAGAAGGUCUUCGGAUUGUAAAGCACUUUAAGUUGGGAGGAAGGGCAGUAAGUUAAUACCUUGCUGUUUUGACGUUACCAACAGAAUAAGCACCGGCUAACUUCGUG
This 484-nucleotide ribosomal RNA is filed under the name uncultured bacterium. RNAcentral describes it as "partial 16S ribosomal RNA". It matches the Rfam family "Bacterial small subunit ribosomal RNA", at positions 30 to 507 of the family's 1533-position model. The record is from RNAcentral.